GCGAACGGGUGAGUAACACGUAUGCAACUUACCCCUAACUGGGGGAAAGCCCCGAGAAAUCGGGGUUAAUACUCCAUAUCGUAGUAAAAAGGCAUCUUUUUACUACGAAAGCUCCGGCGGUUAGGGAUAGGCAUGCGGCCCAUUAGCUAGUUGGUGAGGUAACAGCUCACCAAGGCCACGAUGGGUAGCUGAUCUGAGAGGAUGAUCAGCCACAUUGGCACUGAGACACGGGCCAAACUCCUACGGGAGGCAGCAGUAGGGAAUCUUGGUCAAUGGGCGAAAGCCUGAACCAGCCAUGCCGCGUGCAGGAUGAAGGCCCUACGGGUCGUAAACUGCUUUUAAUCGGGAAGAAAAAGUCUGUUUCCACAGACCUUGACGGUACCGAUUGAAUAAGGGCCGGCUAACUCCGUGCCAGCAGCCGCGGUAAUACGGAGGGCCCAAGCGUUAUCCGGAUUCACUGGGUUUAAAGGGUGCGCAGGCGGUCAGGUAAGUCAGUGGUGAAAGCCUCCGGCUCAACCGGAGAAUUGCCAUUGAAAC
RNAcentral lists this ribosomal RNA (537 nucleotides) under uncultured bacterium. RNAcentral describes it as "bacterial SSU rRNA". It matches the Rfam family "Bacterial small subunit ribosomal RNA", at positions 98 to 633 of the family's 1533-position model. The record is from RNAcentral.